GUUUACGGCCAUACCAGCCUGGGUACGCCUGAUCUCGUCUGAUCUCGGAAGCUAAGCAGGGUCGGGCCUGGUUAGUACUUGAUGGGAGACCGCCUGGGAAUACCAGGUGCUGUAAGCU
RNAcentral lists this ribosomal RNA (118 nucleotides) under Salmo trutta (river trout). Lineage: Eukaryota; Metazoa; Chordata; Actinopteri; Salmoniformes; Salmonidae. The record is from RNAcentral.